UAAAAGCUUAGGUUAAAUUAAACCAAGGGCCUUCAAAGCCCCAAACAAGGACUAAACCCCUUAGCUUUUG
RNAcentral lists this transfer RNA (70 nucleotides) under Trachylepis bocagii. RNAcentral describes it as "tRNA-Trp". It matches the Rfam family "tRNA". From Rfam's summary of the family: Transfer RNA (tRNA) molecules are approximately 80 nucleotides in length. Their secondary structure includes four short double-helical elements and three loops (D, anti-codon, and T loops). Lineage: Eukaryota; Metazoa; Chordata; Lepidosauria; Squamata; Scincidae. The record is from RNAcentral.